Molecule: ribosomal RNA, 496 nt
Filed under: uncultured bacterium
Lineage: Bacteria
Description: partial 16S ribosomal RNA
Rfam family: Bacterial small subunit ribosomal RNA
Source: RNAcentral
GAUGAACGCUGGCGGCGUGCCUAAUACAUGCCAGUCGAGCGAACAGAUAAGGAGCUUGCUCCUUUGACGUUAGCGGCGGACGGGUGAGUAACACGUGGGUAACCUACCUAUAAGACUGGGAUAACUUCGGGAAACCGGAGCUAAUACCGGAUAACAUUUGGAACCGCAUGGUUCUAAAGUGAAAGAUGGUUUUGCUAUCACUUAUAGAUGGACCCGCGCCGUAUUAGCUAGUUGGUAAGGUAACGGCUUACCAAGGCAACGAUACGUAGCCGACCUGAGAGGGUGAUCGCCCACCCGGGAACUAAGACACGGUCCAGACUCCUACGGGAGGCAGCAGUAGGGAACCUUCCGCAAUGGGCGAAAGCCUGACGGAGCAACGCCGCGUGAGUGAUGAAGGGUUUCGGCUCGUAAAACUCUGUUAUUAGGGAAGAACAAACGUGUAAGUAACUGUGCACGUCUUGACGGUACCUAAUCAGAAAGCCACGGCUAACUACGU